This 301-nucleotide ribosomal RNA is filed under the name uncultured bacterium. RNAcentral describes it as "partial 16S ribosomal RNA". It matches the Rfam family "Bacterial small subunit ribosomal RNA", at positions 509 to 807 of the family's 1533-position model. The record is from RNAcentral.
CAGUAGCCGCGGUAAUACGAAGGGGGCUAGCGUUGUUCGGAUUUACUGGGCGUAAAGCGCACGUAGGCGGACUUUUAAGUCAGGGGUGAAAUCCCGGGGCUCAACCCCGGAACUGCCUUUGAUACUGGAAGUCUUGAGUAUGGUAGAGGUGAGUGGAAUUCCGAGUGUAGAGGUGAAAUUCGUAGAUAUUCGGAGGAACACCAGUGGCGAAUGCGGCUCACUGGACCAUUACUGACGCUGAGGUGCGAAAGCGUGGGGAGCAAACAGGAUUAGAUACCCCGGUAGUCCCUGUCUCUUAUAC